This 460-nucleotide ribosomal RNA is filed under the name uncultured bacterium. RNAcentral describes it as "partial 16S ribosomal RNA". It matches the Rfam family "Bacterial small subunit ribosomal RNA", at positions 338 to 795 of the family's 1533-position model. The record is from RNAcentral.
CCUACGGGUGGCAGCAGUGAGGAAUAUUGGUCAAUGGCCGGAAGGCUGAACCAGCCAUGCCGCGUGAAGGUCAGUGCCCUAUGGGCGUUACACUUCUUUUGUGCGGGAGCAAUAAUGGUCACGUGUGGCCAGACUAGAGUACCGUACGAAUAAGCAUCGGCUAACUCCGUGCCAGCAGCCGCGGUAAUACGGGGGAUGCAAGCGUUAUCCGGAUUUAUUUGGUUUAAAGGGUGCGUAGGCUGUGAGGUAAGUCAUCGGUGAAAUGCCCCCGCUCAACGGGGUGAAGUGCCAUUGAUACUGCCUUGCUGGAAUGCAGAUGCCGUGGGAGGAAUGUGUGGUGUAGCGGUGAAAUGCAUAGAUAUCACACAGAACACCGAUUGCGAAGGCAUCUCACGAGUCCGCGAUUGACGCUGAUGCACGAAAGCGUGGGUAUCAAACAGGAUUAGAUACCCCAGUAGUC